GUGAGGAAUAUUGCGCAAUGGAGGCAACUCUGACGCAGCCAUGCCGCGUGCAGGAAGAAGGCGCUACGCGUUGUAAACUGCUUUUAACCGGGAAGAAACCCCAGGACGUGUCCUGGGUUGACGGUACCGGAGGAAUAAGCACCGGCUAACUUCGUGCCAGCGGCCGCGGUAAUACGAAGGGUGCAAGCGUUAUCCGGAUUCAUUGGGUUUAAACGGUGCGUAGGCGGAGCGUUAAGUCAGUGGUGAAAUCCUGCAGCUUAACUGUAGACUUGCCAUUGAUACUGGCGCUCUUGAGUGCGCUUGAAGUGGGCGGAAUGUGCCGUGUAGCGGUGAAAUGCUUAGAUAUGGCACAGAACACCAAUUGCGAAGGCAGCUCACUAAGGCGAUACUGACGCUGGGGCACGAAAGCGUGGGGAUCGAACAGGAUUAGAAACCCGGGUAGUCC
RNAcentral lists this ribosomal RNA (445 nucleotides) under uncultured bacterium. RNAcentral describes it as "partial 16S ribosomal RNA". It matches the Rfam family "Bacterial small subunit ribosomal RNA", at positions 354 to 796 of the family's 1533-position model. The record is from RNAcentral.